Molecule: ribosomal RNA, 114 nt
Filed under: Acanthosepion pharaonis
Lineage: Eukaryota; Metazoa; Mollusca; Cephalopoda; Sepiida; Sepiidae
Source: RNAcentral
UUACAGCCAUAUCAUGUUGAAACACCAGUUUGCAUACAAUCACCAAGGUUAAGCAAUGUUGAGCCUAGUCAGUACCAAGAUGGGUGAUUGCUUGGAAAUACCAGGUGCUGUAAG